RNAcentral lists this ribosomal RNA (576 nucleotides) under uncultured Vibrio sp. RNAcentral's name for it is "bacterial SSU rRNA". It matches the Rfam family "Bacterial small subunit ribosomal RNA", at positions 162 to 733 of the family's 1533-position model. Lineage: Bacteria; Pseudomonadati; Pseudomonadota; Gammaproteobacteria; Vibrionales; Vibrionaceae. The record is from RNAcentral.
GCUAAUACCGCAUAAUGUCUUCGGACCAAAGAGGGGGACCUUCGGGCCUCUCGCGCUAAGAUUAGCCCAGGUGAGAUUAGCUAGUUGGUGAGGUAAGAGCUCACCAAGGCGACGAUCUCUAGCUGGUCUGAGAGGAUGAUCAGCCACACUGGAACUGAGACACGGUCCAGACUCCUACGGGAGGCAGCAGUGGGGAAUAUUGCACAAUGGGCGAAAGCCUGAUGCAGCCAUGCCGCGUGUAUGAAGAAGGCCUUCGGGUUGUAAAGUACUUUCAGUAGGGAGGAAGGCGUUGUCGUUAAUAGCGGCUUCGUUUGACGUUACCUACAGAAGAGGCACCGGCUAACUCCGUGCCAGCAGCCGCGGUAAUACGGAGGGUGCGAGCGUUAAUCGGAAUUACUGGGCGUAAAGCGCAUGCAGGUGGUUCAUUAAGUCAGAUGUGAAAGCCCGGGGCUCAACCUCGGAACCGCAUUUGAAACUGGUGAACUAGAGUGCUGUAGAGGGGGGUAGAAUUUCAGGUGUAGCGGUGAAAUGCGUAGAGAUCUGAAGGAAUACCAGUGGCGAAGGCGGCCCCCUGGA